RNAcentral lists this ribosomal RNA (274 nucleotides) under uncultured bacterium. Its description in RNAcentral is "partial 16S ribosomal RNA". It matches the Rfam family "Bacterial small subunit ribosomal RNA", at positions 523 to 796 of the family's 1533-position model. The record is from RNAcentral.
AUACGGAGGGUGCAAACGUUGCUCGGAAUCACUGGGCGUAAAGCGCGCGUAGGUGGAUCAAUUAGUUGAGGGUGAAAUCCCGGGGCUCAACCUCGGAACUGCCUUCAAUACUGUUGAUCUUGAGACCGAGAGAGGUGAGUGGAAUUCCUAGUGUAGAGGUGAAAUUCGUAGAUAUUAGGAAGAACACCAGUGGCGAAGGCGGCUCACUGGCUCGGUACUGACGCUGAGGUGCGAAAGCGUGGGGAGCAAACAGGAUUAGAAACCCUAGUAGUCC